Molecule: small nuclear RNA, 104 nt
Organism: Octopus sinensis (East Asian common octopus)
Lineage: Eukaryota; Metazoa; Mollusca; Cephalopoda; Octopoda; Octopodidae
Source: RefSeq, a predicted model, not a curated record
CUAGCUACAGCGGUACAUAUUCUGAAAGUAGAGUGAUACAGAGAAGAUUAGCAUGGCCCCUGUGCAAGGAUAAUAUGCAAAUUCGUGAAGCGUCCCAUAUUUUU